UAUAAAAUAUUAUGAAAUAUACAAUUUUUUUAUUACGUGUGGCACAUAAAUGUGUAAAUGGAGCUAAAGUGUUUUGAAUGCACUUUGGCCUUUAGUCUUUUUCAAAACUUUUUGUAAAGUUCGUUUAAUAGGCCUUUUUAAAUAAGCCUUCUAUCAGUCCUCUAAAAGAAGCGAGAAGCACUGGGUACCAAUAACAAGCCGUGUUAAACAAUGACUUCGGAAGGGCUCUUCUUCCUGCUGGGAUCAUUCACGUCUUUACUCUAUAAUGGAUCUAAGUAAUAUGUUUAUUAUGGUGUUUGUAAUUAUCCAAAACGGAAGCCUUGUCACUACGUGGUAGCGAAAAGUGUUCUACUAUCUAAAACCAGUUUUUGGGAUUAUUUUGAUUCAUAAAAAUUCUAAAACCGUUCACAAACAAACUAACAUGAACAUUUAAUAGUAUUAUUGACAUGAUUGGGUACUAAAAUUGUCAUUCAACUUAUAAAU
Long non-coding RNA from Lucilia cuprina (Australian sheep blowfly), 483 nucleotides. RefSeq lists it as uncharacterized. The record is from RefSeq and is a predicted model, not a curated record. The transcript has 3 exons. Lineage: Eukaryota; Metazoa; Arthropoda; Insecta; Diptera; Calliphoridae.